AAAGCAUUCUCUGGUGUUGAAGGCCCUGCAAAGCAGCAUCGCGGUGGCGGAGCGUCGUUUGCGACGCCCAACACACAAAACAAGCGGUGAGUGCUUUGGGGUGGGGUGACUGCGUACCUUUUGUAUAAUGGGUCAGCGACUUAUAUUCUGUAGCAAGGUUAACCGAAUAGGGGAGCCGGAGGGAAACCGAGUCUUAAUUGGGCGUUAAGUUGCAGGGUAUAGACCCGAAACCCGGUGAUCUAGCCAUGGGCAGGUUGAAGGUUGGGUAACACUAACUGGAGGACCGAACCGACUAAUGUUGAAAAAUUAGCGGAUGACCUGUGGCUGGGGGUGAAAGGCCAAUCAAACCGGGAGAUAGCUGGUUCUCCCCGAAAGCUAUUUAGGUAGCGCCUCGUGAACUCAUCUCCGGGGGUAGAGCACUGUUUCGGCUAGGGGGCCAUCCCGGCUUACCAACCCGAUGCAAACUGCGAAUACCGGAGAAUGUUAUCACGGGAGACACACGGCGGGUGCUAACGUCCGUCGUGAAGAGGGAAACAACCCAGACCGCCAGCUAAGGUCCCAAAGUCAUGGUUAAGUGGGAAACGAUGUGGGAAGGCCCAGACAGCCAGGAUGUUGGCUUAGAAGCAGCCAUCAUUUAAAGAAAGCGUAAUAGCUCACUGGUCGAGUCGGCCUGCGCGGAAGAUGUAACGGGGCUAAACCAUGCACCGAAGCUGCGGCAGCGAACGUAUCACCCAAGACAACUUUGCGGAGUUGACGAUUGACGGAGCGAAGCGACGUCAAAGCGUUCAUUAAAGUCGAGUUGGCUUAGGGAUACGUUCGUUGGGUAGGGGAGCGUUCUGUAAGCCAGUGAAGGUGUGUCGUGAGGCAUGCUGGAGGUAUCAGAAGUGCGAAUGCUGACAUAAGUAACGAUAAAGCGGGUGAAAAGCCCGCUCGCCGGAAGACCAAGGGUUCCUGUCCAACGUUAAUCGGGGCAGGGUGAGUCGACCCCUAAGGCGAGGCCGAAAGGCGUAGUCGAUGGGAAACGGGUUAAUAUUCCCGUACUUGGUGUUACUGCGAAGGGGGGACGGAGAAGGCUAUGUUGGCCGGGCGACGGUUGUCCCGGUUUAAGCGUGUAGGCUGGUUUUCCAGGCAAAUCCGGAAAAUCAAGGC
Molecule: ribosomal RNA, 1149 nt
Filed under: Salmonella enterica
Lineage: Bacteria; Pseudomonadati; Pseudomonadota; Gammaproteobacteria; Enterobacterales; Enterobacteriaceae
Description: partial 23S ribosomal RNA
Rfam family: Bacterial large subunit ribosomal RNA
Source: RNAcentral